AGAUUGAACGCUGGCGGCAGGCCUAACACAUGCAAGUCGAGCGGUAGAGAGGUGCUUGCACCUCUUGAGAGCGGCGGACGGGUGAGUAAUGCCUAGGAAUCUGCCUAGUGGUGGGGGAUAACGUUCGGAAACGGACGCUAAUACCGCAUACGUCCUACGGGAGAAAGCGGGGGACCUUCGGGCCUCGCGCCAUUAGAUGAGCCUAGGUCGGAUUAGCUAGUUGGUGAGGUAAUGGCUCACCAAGGCGACGAUCCGUAACUGGUCUGAGAGGAUGAUCAGUCACACUGGAACUGAGACACGGUCCAGACUCCUACGGGAGCAGCAGUGGGGAAUAGUUGGACAA
This 343-nucleotide ribosomal RNA is filed under the name uncultured soil bacterium. RNAcentral's name for it is "bacterial SSU rRNA". It matches the Rfam family "Bacterial small subunit ribosomal RNA", at positions 26 to 371 of the family's 1533-position model. The record is from RNAcentral.